CCGUGUGAAGAUGUGCCUGCUUCGCCUUCCAUCAUGACUGAAGUUUCCUGAGGCCUCCCCAGCUAUGCUCCCUAUACAGCCUGCAGAACGGUCGGCUGCCUCCAAUCCUGAGGUCAUCACUCAUCAAGAGGGGAUAAUCCCAGGGACAGCAGGAUCUGCUUCGUUACUUGGAUUUAGGAGCCAGAAACCCAUCAGGCAACUAAACAGUAACAAUGACCCGCCAUUAAACACACUGAGAGAAGAGCAUGAUGAAGAGUUUGUACAAGAAGAAGCCAGGAGCACUUGCUGACAAUGCUUACAGAGACGCAGGCUUCUAUGAGCUCUGCCUGUUGAACUGCAGUAAAAAUAGAUCUCCUUCCCCAGAGAGGCUUGGAUGUGGGCACAAUAUCAGUUCAGACGAUGGUCAAUGCAUGUACUUAAUAGAGUGAAAAGACUUUGGACUGUGAAGUCAGAUUACCUGGGUCUGAAUUGUUAUUCUUCUACUUCUUUGUAGUAUGCUUUCACCACAUUAAAAAUUGUCUGAGCCUCAA
Molecule: long non-coding RNA, 530 nt
Filed under: Homo sapiens (human)
Lineage: Eukaryota; Metazoa; Chordata; Mammalia; Primates; Hominidae
Description: HSALNT0293791
Source: RNAcentral